UACGGGGGGGGCAAGCGUUGUUCGGAAUUACUGGGCGUAAAGGGCUCGUAGGCGGCCAACUAAGUCAGACGUGAAAUCCCUCGGCUUAACCGGGGAACUGCAUCUGAUACUGGAUGGCUUGAGUUCGGGAGAGGGAUGCGGAAUUCCAGGUGUAGCGGUGAAAUGCGUAGAUAAUCUGGAGGAACACCGGUGGCGAAGGCGGCAUCCUGGACCGACACUGACGCUGAGGAGCGAAAGCCAGGGGAGCAAACGGG
RNAcentral lists this ribosomal RNA (254 nucleotides) under uncultured bacterium. Its description in RNAcentral is "partial 16S ribosomal RNA". It matches the Rfam family "Bacterial small subunit ribosomal RNA", at positions 524 to 776 of the family's 1533-position model. The record is from RNAcentral.